UGGGGAAUAUUGGACAAUGGGCGCAAGCCUGAUCCAGCCAUGCCGCGUGAGUGAUGAAGGCCUUAGGGUUGUAAAGCUCUUUUGUCCGGGAAGAUAAUGACUGUACCGGAAGAAUAAGCCCCGGCUAACUUCGUGCCAGCAGCCGCGGUAAUACGAAGGGGGCUAGCGUUGCUCGGAAUCACUGGGCGUAAAGGGCGCGUAGGCGGACUCUUAAGUCGGGGGUGAAAGCCCAGGGCUCAACCCUGGAAUUGCCUUCGAUACUGAGCGUCUUGAGUUCGGAAGAGGUUGGUGGAACUGCGGGUGUAGAGGUGAACUUCGUAGAUAUUCGCAAGCACACCGGUGGCGAAGGCGGCCAACUGGUCCGAUACUGACGCUGAGGCGCGAAAGCGUGGGGAGCAAACAGG
RNAcentral lists this ribosomal RNA (404 nucleotides) under Actinomycetes bacterium. RNAcentral describes it as "Actinobacteria bacterium partial 16S ribosomal RNA". It matches the Rfam family "Bacterial small subunit ribosomal RNA", at positions 355 to 776 of the family's 1533-position model. The record is from RNAcentral. Lineage: Bacteria; Bacillati; Actinomycetota; Actinomycetes.